RNAcentral lists this ribosomal RNA (460 nucleotides) under uncultured bacterium. RNAcentral describes it as "partial 16S ribosomal RNA". It matches the Rfam family "Bacterial small subunit ribosomal RNA", at positions 338 to 795 of the family's 1533-position model. The record is from RNAcentral.
CCUACGGGCGGCAGCAGUGAGGAAUAUUGGUCAAUGGGAGCGAGCCUGAACCAGCCAAGUCGCGUGAAGGAUGACUGCCCUACGGGUUGUAAACUUCUUUUAUCAAAGAAUAAAAUGCGGCACGUGUGCCUUUUUGUGUGUACUUGAUGAAUAAGGAUCGGCUAACUCCGUGCCAGCAACCGCGGUAAUACGGAGGAUCCGAGCGUUAUUCGGAAUUACUGGGCGUAAAGGGCUCGUUGGCGGUUGGUUAAGUUGGGGGGUAAAUUCCGGGGCUCAACCCUGGAAGAGCCGUUGAUACUGGGCGACUUGAGGUCGGGAGAGGGAGGCGGAAUGCGAGGUGUAGGAGUGAAAUGCGUAGAUAUCGGGAGGAACAUCAGUGGCGAAGGCAGCGACCUGGAGCCGGAUUGACGCUGAGGCGCGAAAGCGUGGGGAGCAAACAGGAUUAGAUACCCGGGUAGUC